Molecule: long non-coding RNA, 1115 nt
Filed under: Marmota monax (woodchuck)
Lineage: Eukaryota; Metazoa; Chordata; Mammalia; Rodentia; Sciuridae
Source: RNAcentral
GAAAGCCAUAUGCCUCAGGAGCAUAAAAUCCCUGGGAAGUCGAAAUCAGCACUUGCAGGAAAGUCUACUAAAGGCAAAUGCUUCAGUUCUUCUUUUGAGCCCAGAAACUCAAUGAAAUUUCUACACAGAGAAAUAGUUGCCCCAGGGUGUGAAAGUAAGUUGAGAGUGGUCAUGUAGGUUUGAUUAUAUCAUAUCUUAAUGUACAAGUUAUAAAAUUAAAAAGAAAAAAAAAAACAAAUAUAGACUCAGGAUUGUCAGGUGGAGAACAGAUUCUCAACCAAGUCUGUAUUUACAACAAACAGGAAUUAAACAUUCAUCUGUAUUUACAACAAACAGGAAUUAAACAUUCAUCUGUAUUUACAACAAACAGGAAUUAAACAUUCAGAACUAGACUUUGGGGGCCUCCAUCUUCCUUUUCAACUUUCAGCAUCCUGAGGCCCUGGAACUUCCCAUUCCCAUGCGUCAGAUCUUUAUCUGCCACCAACUGUCCAGAUCCUUCUACAAUAAUGCCCUAUCCAGUGUCAUCUGUCUUUUAGUGAGUGAUUCCAGAAGACCUCAUAACUACCAAAGGAACAAAUGGAUGACUCUGUGGCCCACCAAGAAGAUUUGACUUCCACACCAGUGGGCAGACACCAGACUUCCCAACCUCAGGAAAAGGACAAGGAGACGAAUAUCUGCCUCCCGACUUUGUUUUUCUCUUUGUUUUGACUUUCAGGGGAAAGUCAGUCCAGAGAAGAAUGAGAGGGCCAUUGGCCAGACACUAGCUUCAGCUUAUAGACUGAUCAGAAUGGAAAUCUUGCUCACCCUCUCCCUUUUGCAUACUAAAGGAGCAAACUACAAAGGCUCUAGGUCUUACCAAUCUUUCCUCCACACUCUGGAAGACAUCUAAUUUUUAUUUUUUAGUGGGAAAACUCCUCCACAUCUAUAUUUUUACUUUCUGGUCUUCUGUGAUGAUCUUUUUUACUGCAAUAUCUUGACCUAUAGUGAGUGAUCAUUAAUAUCUACCCAUAAUUUUUGCUUUGCUUGCACAUAUUUCUUUUGUCCAGCCCAUCACCUCUACUCUGAAUGCAUUCAGAAUUAUUUGUAUAAAUAAAAAGCAAUGAAUGUAAUGCUGG